GAUGAACGCUGGCGGCGUGCCUAAUACAUGCAAGUCGAGCGAACGGACGAGAAGCUUGCUUCUCUGAUGUUAGCGGCGGACGGGUGAGUAACACGUGGAUAACCUACCUAUAAGACUGGGAUAACUUCGGGAAACCGGAGCUAAUACCGGAUAAUAUUUUGAACCGCAUGGUUCAAAAGUGAAAGACGGUCUUGCUGUCACUUAUAGAUGGAUCCGCGCUGCAUUAGCUAGUUGGUAAGGUAACGGCUUACCAAGGCAACGAUGCAUAGCCGACCUGAGAGGAUGAUCAGCCACACUGGAACUGAGGCACGGUCCAGACUCCUACGGGAGGCAGCAGUAGGGAAUCUUCCGCAAUGGGCGAAAGCCUGACGGAGCAACGCCGCGUGAGUGAUGAAGGUCUUCGGAUCGUAAAACUCUGUUAUUAGGGAAGAACAUAUGUGUAAGUAACUGUGCACAUCUUGACGGUACCUAAUCAGAAAGCCACGGCUAACUACGUG
This 497-nucleotide ribosomal RNA is filed under the name uncultured bacterium. RNAcentral describes it as "partial 16S ribosomal RNA". It matches the Rfam family "Bacterial small subunit ribosomal RNA", at positions 28 to 507 of the family's 1533-position model. The record is from RNAcentral.